AGUGAACGCUGGCGGUAGGCCUAACACAUGCAAGUCGAACGGCAGCACAGGAGAGCUUGCUCUCUGGGUGGCGAGUGGCGGACGGGUGAGGAAUACAUCGGAAUCUACUCUGUCGUGGGGGAUAACGUAGGGAAACUUACGCUAAUACCGCAUACGACCUACGGGUGAAAGCAGGGGACCUUCGGGCCUUGCGCGAUUGAAUGAGCCGAUGUCGGAUUAGCUAGUUGGCGGGGUAAAGGCCCACCAAGGCGACGAUCCGUAGCUGGUCUGAGAGGAUGAUCAGCCACACUGGAACUGAGACACGGUCCAGACUCCUACGGGAGGCAGCAGUGGGGAAUAUUGGACAAUGGGCGCAAGCCUGAUCCAGCCAUACCGCGUGGGUGAAGAAGGCCUUCGGGUUGUAAAGCCCUUUUGUUGGGAAAGAAAUCCAGCUGGCUAAUACCCGGUUGGAACGACGGUACCCAAUGAAUAAGCACCGGCUAACUUCGUGCCAGCCGCCGCGGUAA
RNAcentral lists this ribosomal RNA (506 nucleotides) under uncultured bacterium. RNAcentral's name for it is "partial 16S ribosomal RNA". It matches the Rfam family "Bacterial small subunit ribosomal RNA", at positions 29 to 523 of the family's 1533-position model. The record is from RNAcentral.